Long non-coding RNA from Lolium rigidum, 1014 nucleotides. RefSeq lists it as uncharacterized. NCBI's taxonomy places the organism in Eukaryota, Viridiplantae, Streptophyta, Magnoliopsida, Poales, Poaceae. The record is from RefSeq and is a predicted model, not a curated record. The transcript is spliced from 6 exons.
UCGAAGCUCAGCCACCGAGCCCUCCUCCGUUUUCCUCGGUGCGCCUGCCGGUCAGAAGGAGGACUCGAUCCACACGUGGUCCCCUACAUCUCCCUCUCUCGAGCUGCUGCUAAAGCACCUCCGUGAACCACAUUUCUCACGCCAUCCCCAUCGCAUAGGGGAGCCAAGCACUAGGGAGACAAAGAGUUGGGAAGGAAGAGAUGAGGAAGAAGGCAAUUUGCAGUUGUUCGGAAAAAGGGGAGGGAUCAAGCCGCAGCCAAAAAGAAGGGAGCCAGGGCAGAGAACGGGAUCAGAAGAUCAUCAUCCCCAACUAGAUUUGGUGAUUCUCAAGCAAAUCUAGACCAAAGAUCCUGUUGGAAAUCCAGGUUGGGCAUGACCGAGGCAAGGAUCAGUGAACUUCAUAAAUUAAAGAAGCGGAAAAUUCUAAGAGAUAUGACAUGUCCAGAAUUCUGCAGUGAUGCUGGAAAGAAAUGAAGAUCUCAGAUUGCUUACAUUGAUGUUGUCGAGAGCAUUAGGAAUGGAAAGCCCAACACUGAGUAUUACUUGAAGCUUGUUAAAUCUGACAUCCAUGGAAAGGACAAGGUCAAAUAUUUAUUGCUGAUUACAGUUUCCAAGGGCUUCACCAAUUCGAAAGGUGCUCUCGCAAACCCGCUAUCCCCUACCAAGGAUCCUCUCGGGAGGAUUGAUCGUGGUGCCAUUCAAAUUUUCUACUUUGAGCGCUGCUUCCAGGUGACACGAACCACUGAUAGUUGUUUGCUUCCUCUUAUCUACCUACUGUGGGAUCUGAGGAUUGUGCCCUUUUGCUGUGGUAUUGGACAUAUACUAUCAAGCAUGUGGUGCAAUGGUUGUAUUUGAGUGCUUUUGCUUCAAGCUACUAUCAGCUGCUUAGUUCUGUAGUUUCUUUCGUCAUGUGGUGUGCUUCUUCGGAAAAAAAGAUUUGUGUAUAUAUUUCUGAUUUACUACUGGUUUGUUUCACUCUUAUUAUCAGUGCUAUGUGCAAUAAUUCCCCGAUAC